CCUAAUUCAGUAGCAUGAUCGAUUGAGGACUCGAAAAGGAGGGCGUUGUAGGUGGUGGUGAUGAUACUAACUUUGACACCAUGACUAGCAAAAAGUCUAGCAAUAUCAACUAAAGGGAUCAUAUGACUUGGUGUGAAAUAUGGAAUGAAAACUACAUGGAGUAGUUCACCAUUUUUUUGUGCCAUGACCUUACUUGAAGAAGGGAUGGAAAUUCACUUAACAACUUAAAAUGUUACUAACUUAAUAUUAGAUUCAGACAUAUUACAGAUAGCCUAAAAAAGUCAUGAAAAAGCCAUUAAAAUACUAAGUAUGUUUCUUCAAGGAAUCUUAUCUUGGAUUAUUAUUAUAUUCAAUCAGUACACUGAGUGGUACUCCCUAUGUUAUCUUUCUGCAGAGCAGUUGAAAGCAAGUAAGGGUGUGCAUUGAUCGGUUCGGUUCGGUUUAGUUUUAAUGUAUUAUUGGUUUGGUUUAUUGAUUUUGGUUUUUAAAUAUGUUAAACCAAUAAGAUAUUUUUUAUUGAUUUCAAUUUAUCGAUUUUGGUCCUUAACGGUUCGGUUUUUAGUUUAAUCAAUAAGAAAAUGCUUAUAAAACAAAUAUUAUGACUUCUCCAACGUCAAUUUGACGUGACAAGACAAUAAUGUAACUUUAUAGAACGCUCAUAAGAUAGAAACAAUAAUAACUAACAUGAAAAGAACUAUACAAGUGCAACACAAAGAGAAAUUAAGAGGAAUAGAGUUCUUACUUUAGGUUUUGACAUUUUGUAUAAUGUGAAAUUGUGAACUCAAAGUUAGUCUGAAGUGUGAAUUGAAGGCUAAAGGACAAAGAUAGUAACCAAUACUGAGAUAAAUAGUUAAUAGUGUUGCUUGUCAUGAGCAUUAUUUCAGUUUUUACUUGUGAUUCAUAAGACAAAAGCAAUAAAAUCACUCAACUUAGCACAUUCCCUUAUAAAAUUGUUCAACUACGUAGAUUAUAAAAAGCCUGACAUGACAAAAUAUAUUAUUUUUCAUGUCAGGGAAACAUGGACUCCAUUAGAGCUAGGCCUGAAUGCUAAAAUUAGAAAUAUCGGAUCGAACCGAAUUAAUUCGAUUCUUUGGUUCUUCGGUUGGGAAUGAUUUUUUUUUUCAAAAGCUCGGUUAAUCGGUUUAAGAGUUCCAGUUCUUCAAUGUGUCAAUUUUAUUCCCAGCUCUAUAGUUAUACAGGUUCACAUAGCUUCAUUUUCUUAUUUGGUAGAUCCCUUAUUUGAAAGUUGAAACACUCUUUAAGAGUUUUUUGUCUAUAAAAAGAUUGCUUGAAACAACAACAUACUCAGUGUAGUUCCACAAGUGAUGUCCGGGGAAAAGAUUGCUUGAAACAUAACAUGUUAUUUCGUUUUACCUUUUCUUGUGUUAUGUAAUGCACGCGAGGCAUGAUGCUAUUUUAGGAAAAAUAAGUAGAGCUCAGAAUGUUAAAUUUCUUACUACUCUUCUGAUAUGCCAAAAGCAUGACACUUGAUCUCCUGUAUUAAUGUUGUUAGAUGAUUAUAAGAAGAACCUCCUUUCUCCACAGCCCUGUUAAUCAUUGCUUCGACGUCUUUUGCUCUACUUUUGAUCAUUUCACUUUCCCCGGAGGUGUUCAUCAACGUCUUCAAACUCGCCUCUAUCUUCUCUUUAUUGACAAUCGUAUCCUUGAUGUCAAAAGUACUGUGCCACACCUCUGCCCCGACCCUGACUCCACAUCCAAGAACCUCCACCAGCUUCUCAUUGUAGAACUGCUCCGCGAACAAUGGCCAUGUCAGCAUUGGCACUCCGGCUGUAAGAGAUUCCAGGGUGGAAUUCCAGCCACAAUGAGUCAUGAACACCCCGGUUGCUGGAUGGUUCAAGAUCUUCAGCUGUGGCACCCAUCCUCUGACUAUCAAACCUUUCUUGUUUGUAAGCAUUUUUUCCUUGAAGCUAGAAGGCAUCCAGUUUUCUUGCCCGUUUACUUGGGGUUCGUCUCCCUUCCUUACCACCCAAAGAAACGAUGAAUUCGAUGCCUCAAGAGCCAAGGCAAUUUCAGUAAGCUGAGCAUCAGAGAACCUCCCCAUACUUCCGAAACAAAUGUACACAACAGAGUUUGGUUCUUGAGAAUCAAGCCAACUCAAGCAGCUGUGUCGUUCUUGAUGUUGAGUAUUUCUUGAAUUGUCUGCCUCUUCCCUCUUUGAAAAAUGAAACAAAGGACCAAUAAGCCACGGCUUUUUACCUUUGAUUUCUUGAUAAAGCUUAGCAUAACUCGGCUCUAGAUCAUAGAUAGUGUCGUGAAUCAUAGCGUAGCUCCGAGGUUCUGAUUCUUUAAUUCUCCUCAUCAGCUCCCAAUAUGGUCCUUCAGAUUUAGUUAUAAUAUUCUCUGGCAAUUGAGAUCUUUUCAUUUCUAUCUGAUCUGGUAAACCCGGAAUCAAGAAACUUUCUGAAUCCGAACUUACCUUCUCAUGAGGUGCAUACAAUUUCAAACAAUGUUCAACACAGUGGUACAUAACAUUAGUCGGAUAAAACAUAAGUCUAGGUAUCUUCAGUUGCUCUGCCACAUCCACAGUCCAUGGGAAAAACAUGUCUGAAACAAUGCAAUGAGGACGAAGCUCGAAAAUAAGACUUUCCAUUGGUUUUUGAAGCAGAGGAAUUCCCAUAAACACACUUAUAGCCAUUUCUUGGCUAGUGGCAUACACCUAUAGCCAUUUCUUUGCUAGUGACUGCACUGAAGUUUUCGAUCCCUUCUGGUAUGCCUACUUCAGCUGAUGGGAAUUUGAGUUUGUGGACGAAUAUUUCGUGGCCUAAUUCAGUAGCAUGAUCGAUUGAGGACUCGAAAAGGAGGGCGUUGUAGGGGGUGGUGAUGAUGCUAACUUUCACGCCAUGGCUAGCAAAAAGUCUAGCUAUAUCAACUAAAGGGAUCAUAUGACUUGGUGUGAAGUAUGGAAUGAAAACUACAUGAAGUAUUUCACCAUUUUUUUGUGCCAUGACUGAACUUGAAGA
This 2981-nucleotide long non-coding RNA is filed under the name Solanum tuberosum (potato). RNAcentral's name for it is "long non-coding RNA (STUB_LNC011874)". Lineage: Eukaryota; Viridiplantae; Streptophyta; Magnoliopsida; Solanales; Solanaceae. The record is from RNAcentral.